Molecule: ribosomal RNA, 301 nt
Filed under: uncultured bacterium
Lineage: Bacteria
Description: partial 16S ribosomal RNA
Rfam family: Bacterial small subunit ribosomal RNA
Source: RNAcentral
CAGUAGCCGCGGUAAUACAGAGGGUGCGAGCGUUAAUCGGAAUUACUGGGCGUAAAGCGCGCGUAGGUGGUUUGUUAAGUUGGAUGUGAAAUCCCCGGGCUCAACCUGGGAACUGCAUCCAAAACUGGCAGGCUAGAGUAGGGCAGAGGGUGGUGGAAUUUCCUGUGUAGCGGUGAAAUGCGUAGAUAUAGGAAGGAACACCAGUGGCGAAGGCGACCACCUGGGCUCAUACUGACACUGAGGUGCGAAAGCGUGGGGAGCAAACAGGAUUAGAUACCCCUGUAGUCCCUGUCUCUUAUAC